GAAGAGAGGAUCAAGGAGAUGUUCUACCCCCAUCUCUUGCAGAUUUUCUUGGGGAAACCCUAGGUAAGGAUAGGAUCCUUGUUCCUCCCUAUAAUUAUAUGCUUUUGGAGGUUGUGAAUCAUGUGGAUUGAAGGAUUAGAGGUUGGAUUAGAUGUGGGGUUAGGUUUUGAUCUCGAAUUUAAUUUCUGCAGAAUGGCAGAUUCGACAGUUUCUGUUCAUGUCAGUUUUUCGUGGUCUUAGUGGCCUCAAAAAAAUAAAAAAGUCUAUAUAUGAGUCGUAGAUAAUUUGUAGAUCUUUCCGUGGCCGUGAAGAACACCUCAAUCGGACAUCAGAACAGAAAGUUAUGACAGUUUGAUUAUAGCAGUUUUUCAGUCUCAUAAUUCUGUGCAGAAUCUGUUCUCUUAAGAGUUAGGCAAUUUUAUCAACAGAAUUAAACUGUGGGUUGGUAAAAGAAGUUGUAGAUAAUUUCAUAAGCUUUCCAGAUUGUUAAAGAGUGCAUUCAUAUGAUUUGUGAAACUCCAGUUAUGUUUGUUUUACUGUGGCUGUUCCUGUUUGCCUGACAAAAAUGAGUGGGUCUGUUCACUGGUGGGUUUCAUCUAGUAAAUGGCCAAAUUGGCUCUUCCAACUAUGGAGACUUUUGUAGAGGGAUAAAAGUUCUUACUUCCAACAGAAUUUCAUAAUUUUUGGUUCAGUAGUUUGGGAGAUAUCGAAUUUUAAAGUUAACCAUACUGCUGUCUAAAACAGAUUCAGUCAGUUAUCUUGUCAGAUGUUUUAGAACUUGUAGAUGGCAGAAUUUAAUUAUCCAUUGAAUACUGAAGUUGUAGAGUAUUUUGUGUAGAUACUCCUAGAGUAUUUGUUUGAUAUCACCGCUGUUUUAAUUUUAAAGAUACAAAAUUAACAAACAGCGCUGCUGCUGUAUGGCAUGUGGUUCAGGGUGGGAGUCUUUCCACUGGGUCUUGGUUUCAAGUGUAGGAGUGUUUUGUUGAUUGAUGGCAAAUGUUUGUGAAAUAUUUGUACUAAGUUUUAUGCCCGCUAGCAGGUGGCUAUACUCCAGAUCAUGUCUAGUACAUUUCUUCUUCUUCGAUGAAGGCAAGUGAAUGUAGCGGUGGUUGCUUCCGUUCUAACCUGUUAUUUCUAUUGCCUACACUCUAAUAUUCAGAAGUAUUGGAUUCUUUCAUAAUUGGACUCUAUGGUGAUGCUUUACUUGCUUGCAUUAUACUGAUGCUCAAUCAUAUAUUGAUGAUGAUUAUGAUUCGAGUAUGAUUCAUGAGAUUAAUUCACACCCCUGAAGGUAAAUGAAGUAUUAUUUGAGGUUGGUAUUGUAUCUGAAGGUAAAUGAAGUAUUAUUUGAGGUUGGUAUUGUAUCUGAAGGUAAAUAAAGUAUUAUUUGAGGUUUGUAUUGUAUCUGAAGGAAGUGAGGGUUAUUGAUAAAUGCAGCAUGCCAUAUACAUUGCAUGACUCAUUUGCAUCUGAAGUUUUGUCGUGACCUAUGGUCCGACCGUGCCGGUACAAUUUAGCAUCGUACGUUGCCCGAGGAGGGGUACGAUGCGACUUCAUACCCUUAGAGGUAUGAAGGCAGAGGACAUAUGCAUUGCAUUCAUAUGCAUUCAUUGAAGUGAUAUUUGCAGAUGAUGUGGUUUUAUACUCUCAGAGGUAUGAAGAUAGAGUACCUACACAUUGCAUUCCUAUGCAUACAUUGAAGUGAUAUUUGCAGGUAUUAUUGACGCACGGAAGUGUUAUAGAACCUAUUGUGGUUGUUCGAGGAAAUGAGAUGGUAUUGGUUAUAGUGGGACUACUGAGUUCCAUAUCUACAAGUAUUUCUGAUUUUAAUUGUGACUCUUUUAAAAUGUUGAUGAAUUCAAUUUGUGGUUUAAAGAUCUCGUCAAAAUUAUUCGCUUGCUGAGAUGUUUCAUCUCACUCUUGCAUUACUCAAUGCAGGUGCUUGUUGCUCAUCAAGGGAAGUGGGAAGUAGCAGCACAUCCACCUUCACUCUUAUAAUAACACUGCUUAGGCGCAGUCAUGAUUUAAUUAGAAGCUUCUUGUCAAAGGACGUUUGUUUCUAACUAGUUGUGCGCACUGGAUAAUUUAGCUCAUGCCGUUAUGGUUGUCUACCCAUUGCUAGCAGACUAUUAAUGUCUAUUAUGUUUUCUUAUCAUGAUAUCUAUUUAUACUUUGUUGCUUCCCCGUUUAUGCCAUUUUCAAAGGAG
RNAcentral lists this long non-coding RNA (2207 nucleotides) under Zea mays. RNAcentral describes it as "long non-coding RNA (ZMAY_LNC002684)". The record is from RNAcentral. Lineage: Eukaryota; Viridiplantae; Streptophyta; Magnoliopsida; Poales; Poaceae.